GACCAGACUCAGACUUGUGUGUGUUGCAUA
Molecule: non-coding RNA, 30 nt
Filed under: Mus musculus (house mouse)
Lineage: Eukaryota; Metazoa; Chordata; Mammalia; Rodentia; Muridae
Source: RNAcentral